UACGGGAGGGGCUAGCGUUGUUCGGAAUUAUUGGGCUUAAAGGGCGUGUAGGCGGCCUGGUAAGUACUUUGUGAAAACCCUCGGCUCAACCGAGGACGUGCUUGGUAUACUGCUGGGCUUGAGGCAGGUAGGGGUGCUUGGAACUCUAGGUGGAGCGGUGAAAUGCGUUGAUAUCUAGGGGAACGCCGGUGGCGAAAGCGGAGCACUGGGCCUGUCCUGACGCUGAGACGCGAAAGCGUGGGGAUCAAACGGG
This 253-nucleotide ribosomal RNA is filed under the name uncultured bacterium. Its description in RNAcentral is "partial 16S ribosomal RNA". It matches the Rfam family "Bacterial small subunit ribosomal RNA", at positions 524 to 776 of the family's 1533-position model. The record is from RNAcentral. RNAcentral also lists the same sequence under 1 other name.